UACGUAGGGUGCAAGCGUUAAUCGGAAUUACUGGGCGUAAAGCGUGCGCAGGCGGUGAUGUAAGACAGAUGUGAAAUCCCCGGGCUCAACCUGGGAACUGCAUUUGUGACUGCAUCGCUGGAGUGCGGCAGAGGGGGAUGGAAUUCCGCGUGUAGCAGUGAAAUGCGUAGAUAUGUGGAGGAACACCGAUGGCGAAGGCAGCCUCCUGGGCUAGUACUGACGCUCAUGCACGAAAGCGUGGGGAGCAAACAGG
RNAcentral lists this ribosomal RNA (253 nucleotides) under uncultured bacterium. Its description in RNAcentral is "partial 16S ribosomal RNA". It matches the Rfam family "Bacterial small subunit ribosomal RNA", at positions 524 to 776 of the family's 1533-position model. The record is from RNAcentral.